This 218-nucleotide unclassified non-coding RNA is filed under the name Hevea brasiliensis (rubber tree). The record is from RNAcentral. Lineage: Eukaryota; Viridiplantae; Streptophyta; Magnoliopsida; Malpighiales; Euphorbiaceae.
GACAGGCCAGUUUGCUUCCGCUACCCUCGGGGUGCUCUUUCAGUGAUGGAACACUCAUUUAGUGGAAUUCCCAUUGAGGUUGGCAGAGGGAGAAUACUUACAGAGGGUAAAGAUGUUGCUUUACUUGGCUAUGGAUCCAUGGUACAAAAUUGUCUGAGAGCUCAAUCGCUUCUUUCAAAGCUUGGUGUUGAAGUGACUGUUGCUGAUGCAAGAUUCUG